Non-coding RNA from Sus scrofa (pig), 1463 nucleotides. Lineage: Eukaryota; Metazoa; Chordata; Mammalia; Artiodactyla; Suidae. The record is from RefSeq and is a predicted model, not a curated record.
UGAGCCACGACGGGAACUCCUGUGCGUAUUUUUUUUAAGUUGAGGCCUGAAAGAGCUGUGUGUUUCUUGCUACAGGCACAUUAUUUUCCUACUGGAUAUAUGCGGGUGGAGGACAGAGUUGCAGGAGCAGCCUAAUUAUGCAGAGUUCCUCCCUCAUUCUCCCGGUGGUUAUUCAGUUGCAAAAUGUUGCUGGUCUGAGAAGACAGGAAGGGGGAGCCUGAGGAGGCCGUGGCCUUAAGCUAAGGCUACUGUUGUCCUUCUGUCAGCCUGUGGUGUGACUGGCAGUGAGGAAAAAAAAUGUGUACAGGAGAGAAGGGAGCGGCCCGAAAGCUCUGUUUUGGAGAAUGAUCCAACUGGGUCGAGGUUCCUCCGCCACAAUUCCUAGCAAAGUUUUCCCGGUAUCUGGACCCAAAAUCACGGCAACGCGUAGGGAGAAUCGAAGGCGGGACUGGGAGAGGUGCCUCCGAUGCCUGCCCAGGACGGGCUGUGUCCCUGCAGAUGGGAAGACACUCUUCACCCAACAGCCCAUUUCUAUCCAGCGCCUGGCACAGAAAUACACUUAGUAGAGUUCACUGCAUUGUGGGAUGCAAGGGCAGAGAGGUGGAAAGACAGCGGAAGAAGCAAGAGGCAGGGCCAAGAGCCUCCGAGGUCACUGAAGAAAGUCUGGGCUUGGGAUCCAGGAGGGCCCUCGCGUGACUCCUCGAAAACCUCGUAGAUUUGUGGGCAGAAAGUCAAAGAGAAGACCCUGGGGCGCUCGUGGAUUUCAAACUGAAAAAUAGCGAAGGGAUUUGGCAGAUUUAACGGUUCAAGAGCGAGAUCGUCAGGGAAGCGGAUCUACGGCGUACGUGCCAGACUAAAGGAAGGGAGGUGAACUGUAUUCCCCUCCGGCAGCUAAAGACGUUGCCCGGGGAAACGGGAAGGAGGCGGGCCAGCCGAACUUUGACAGGGGCCACAGCAGGGGCGGGACUCUGCUUCUGACUGGCUAUAUACCCCAAGAGGGGUGUGGCUCACCUAUGACUGACAGGCCUCUGGGGCGGGGCUGGCUUGAGACAGACAAGCUUAACUGGAAGGAAAGGGGGCUUGGUUUUGACUCGCAGGGCACAGGUCAGGGCGGGACUCUAGGCCAGUCUGACUGACAGGAGUCCGCAGGGCCUCAGCUAAAGCUGGAGCAAACCAUCUGUCCUUAAGAUGCCGGCUUCAUUAGCCCCAGUGACCCAGAAAAAGAGCAGGAUAUACCCUCCCUAUGACCGGGGAAUCAAACCUACGCCACACAGCAGCAACCAGAGCCACGGUGGUGAGAAUGCGGGAGCCUCAACCCACUAGGCCAUCAGAGAACUCCCAAGAGUGGUAAUCUUAAAAAAAAAAGAAAAAAAAAAUGGGAAUCUUCACGUAUACUCCUUCAGCUAUAAAACCCUCAAGAUUGGAAAGUCCUCAGUGCUUUAGUAAAAGGCCUGUGUACACUU